RNAcentral lists this ribosomal RNA (492 nucleotides) under uncultured bacterium. Its description in RNAcentral is "partial 16S ribosomal RNA". It matches the Rfam family "Bacterial small subunit ribosomal RNA", at positions 30 to 507 of the family's 1533-position model. The record is from RNAcentral.
AUUGAACGCUGGCGGCAUGCUUUACACAUGCAAGUCGAACGGUAACAGGCCUUCGGGUGCUGACGAGUGGCGAACGGGUGAGUAAUGCAUCGGAACGUACCCAGAGGUGGGGGAUAACGCAGCGAAAGCUGUGCUAAUACCGCAUGUGAUCUGAGGAUGAAAGCGGGGGACCGAGCAGCAAUGUUUGGCCUCGCGCCUUUGGAGCGGCCGAUGUCGGAUUAGCUAGUUGGUGGGGUAAAGGCCUACCAAGGCGACGAUCCGUAGCUGGUCUGAGAGGACGACCAGCCACACUGGGACUGAGACACGGCCCAGACUUCUACGGGAGGCAGCAGUGGGGAAUUUUGGACAAUGGGCGCAAGCCUGAUCCAGCAAUGCCGCGUGCGGGAAGAAGGCCUUCGGGUUGUAAACCGCUUUUGGCAGGAACGAAACGGUGUCCGCUAAUACCGGGCGCUAAUGACGGUACCUGCAGAAUAAGCACCGGCUAACUACGUG